UAAUAAGUGUUUUAUGGCACUUUUUAAAUCCAUAUCCACCUUGUGCGCAAUGUCAGUCGAUCUUCUUCAUGGAGAUCGACCAAACAUCAACCUUUAUCUUUUAACUCUUUGUCUGAAAAAUAUUAUGAAUAAACAAUUCAAAAUA
Molecule: unclassified non-coding RNA, 145 nt
Filed under: soil metagenome
Description: partial internal transcribed spacer 1
Source: RNAcentral